RNAcentral lists this ribosomal RNA (491 nucleotides) under uncultured bacterium. RNAcentral's name for it is "partial 16S ribosomal RNA". It matches the Rfam family "Bacterial small subunit ribosomal RNA", at positions 29 to 507 of the family's 1533-position model. The record is from RNAcentral.
GUGAACGCUGGCGGUAGGCCUAACACAUGCAAGUCGAACGGCAGCACAGUAAGAGCUUGCUCUUACGGGUGGCGAGUGGCGGACGGGUGAGGAAUACAUCGGAAUCUACUUUUUCGUGGGGGAUAACGUAGGGAAACUUACGCUAAUACCGCAUACGACCUACGGGCGAAAGCAGGGGAUCUUCGGACCUUGCGCGAUUGAAUGAGCCGAUUUCGGAUUAGCUAGUUGGCGGGGUAAAGGCCCACCAAGGCGACGAUCCGUAGCUGGUCUGAGAGGAUGAUCAGCCACACUGGAACUGAGACACGGUCCAGACUCCUACGGGAGGCAGCAGUGGGGAAUAUUGGACAAUGGGCGCAAGCCUGAUCCAGCCAUACCGCGUGGGUGAAGAAGGCCUUCGGGUUGUAAAGCCCUUUUGUUGGGAAAGAAAAGCAGCAGGUUAAUACCCCGCUGUUCUGACGGUACCCAAAGAAUAAGCACCGGCUAACUUCGUG